GCCUAGUUAGCUUGGUUGGCAGAACGUCUACCUUGUAAGCGCUAGGUCGCGGGUUCGAUUCCCGCCCUGGGCG
This 73-nucleotide transfer RNA is filed under the name Diaphorina citri (Asian citrus psyllid). It matches the Rfam family "tRNA". Rfam says of the family: Transfer RNA (tRNA) molecules are approximately 80 nucleotides in length. Lineage: Eukaryota; Metazoa; Arthropoda; Insecta; Hemiptera; Psyllidae. The record is from Rfam by way of RNAcentral.